This 85-nucleotide transfer RNA is filed under the name Felis catus (domestic cat). It matches the Rfam family "tRNA". From Rfam's summary of the family: Transfer RNA (tRNA) molecules are approximately 80 nucleotides in length. Their secondary structure includes four short double-helical elements and three loops (D, anti-codon, and T loops). RNAcentral also lists the same sequence under 6 other names. Lineage: Eukaryota; Metazoa; Chordata; Mammalia; Carnivora; Felidae. The record is from Rfam by way of RNAcentral.
GCCUGGGUGGCUCAGUCGGUUGAGUGUCCGACUUCAGCUCAGGUCACGAUCUCGCGGUCCGUGGGUUCGAGCCCCGCGUCGGGCU